AAUGAACGUUGGCGGCAUGGAUUAGGCAUGCAAGUCGGGGGAAUCCAGCAAUGGGGGAACCGGCGUAAGGGGCAGUAAGGCAUGGGUACCUACCUUGGGGUUCGGGAUAGCCAUCAGAGAUGGUGGGUAAUACCGGAUGACGUCGUGAGACCAAAGAUUUAUCGCCCUUAGAGGGGCCCAUGUGAUAUUAGCUAGUUGGUGGGGUAACGGCCCACCAAGGCGAAGAUGUCUAGCGGGGGUGAGAGCACGACCCGCGCCACUCGCACUGAGACACUGGCGAGACACCGACGGGUGGCUGCAGUCGAGGAUAUUCGGCAAUGAGCGCAAGCUUGACCGAGCGAUGCCGCGUGAGCGAUGAAGGCCUUCGGGUUGUAAAGCUCUUUAGUGGGGGAGAAAAGCCGCAAGGUGUGAUCUAUCCCAAAAAUAAGCACGGGCUAAGUUCGUGCCAGCCGCCGCGGUAA
Molecule: ribosomal RNA, 461 nt
Filed under: uncultured bacterium
Lineage: Bacteria
Description: partial 16S ribosomal RNA
Rfam family: Bacterial small subunit ribosomal RNA
Source: RNAcentral